GAUGAACGCUGGCGGCGUGCUUAACACAUGCAAGUCGAACGAAGCACUUUAUUUGAUUUCCUUCGGGACUGAUUAUUUUGUGACUGAGUGGCGGACGGGUGAGUAACGCGUGGGUAACCUGCCUUGUACAGGGGGAUAACAGUUGGAAACGGCUGCUAAUACCGCAUAAGCGCACAGCAUCGCAUGAUGCAGUGUGAAAAACUCCGGUGGUAUAAGAUGGACCCGCGUUGGAUUAGCUAGUUGGUGAGGUAACGGCCCACCAAGGCGACGAUCCAUAGCCGACCUGAGAGGGUGACCGGACACAUUGGGACUGAGACACGGCCCAAACUCCUACGGGAGGCAGCAGUGGGGAAUAUUGCACAAUGGGCGAAAGCCUGAUGCAGCGACGCCGCGUGAGCGAAGAAGUAUUUCGGUAUGUAAAGCUCUAUCAGCAGGGAAGAUAAUGACGGUACCUGACUAAGAAGCACCGGCUAAAUACGUG
This 481-nucleotide ribosomal RNA is filed under the name uncultured bacterium. Its description in RNAcentral is "partial 16S ribosomal RNA". It matches the Rfam family "Bacterial small subunit ribosomal RNA", at positions 28 to 507 of the family's 1533-position model. The record is from RNAcentral.